CAGCUAGUUGGCGGGGUAAAGGCCCACCAAGGCGACGAUCGGUAGCUGGUCUGAGAGGACGACCAGCCACACUGGAACUGAGACACGGUCCAGACUCCUACGGGAGGCAGCAGUGGGGAAUUUUGGACAAUGGGCGCAAGCCUGAUCCAGCAAUGCCGCGUGAGUGAAGAAGGCCUUCGGGUUGUAAAGCUCUUUUGUCAGGGAAGAAACGGGUUCCUCUAAUACAGGGUCCUAAUGACGGUACCUGAAGAAUAAGCACCGGCUAACUACGUGCCAGCAGCCGCGGUAAUACGUAGGGUGCAAGCGUUAAUCGGAAUUACUGGGCGUAAAGCGUGCGCAGGCGGUUUUGUAAGACUGACGUGAAAUCCCCGGGCUCAACCUGGGAAUGGCGUUGGUGACUGCAAGGCUAGAGUUUGGCAGAGGGGGGUAGAAUUCCACGUGUAGCAGUGAAAUGCGUAGAUAUGUGGAGGAACACCGAUGGCGAAGGCAGCCCCCUGGGUCAAAACUGACGCUCAUGCACGAAAGCGUGGGGAGCAAACAGGAUUAGAUACCCUGGUAGUCCACGCCCUAAACGAUGUCUACUAGUUGUCGGGUC
Molecule: ribosomal RNA, 595 nt
Filed under: uncultured beta proteobacterium
Lineage: Bacteria; Pseudomonadati; Pseudomonadota; Betaproteobacteria
Description: SSU rRNA
Rfam family: Bacterial small subunit ribosomal RNA
Source: RNAcentral